GCCUUGUUAAGGCCCCUAAUAUUCCAUGUGCUAAAAAUCAUGUUGUGGUGAAGCUGGAUGGGCCAGCGUCCCCUGGGUCAUCACCUAUCUGUAACAAAGAGAAAUUGUUGGUCAUGUUCAUUGAGGCUCCAACAUAGUGUUGUACAUUUAUCCCUUUUGCCAACCCCUUAUCUAUCACCCUGCUUCCAGCAAUGUCAGUAUGCUUGCUUUCCUCCACUAUCCUAGUAGUUUUAACCACCUCACCAUUAUGCUUGGUUUUUGGUAUCCAUUUCCAGUUCUCACUUUGCACUUGCUUCUUUUCCCCUGCUGCCUUGAAAUGGUUCUGUGUUGCCUCUUCACCUCCCUGCUUCUUUUUAUACCAGCAAUCAUCAGUGUUAUGGCCAAAUCUUAAACAGUCACAGCAGUAGUUUGGCCUCCAUUCGUACUCAAUCUGUUGUGUGAUAACUCCCCUCUUGGUAUGUAACUCAAAACUAUCUGGCAAGGGUUGAGAUAUGUCUGUUUCCACCAGUACUCUUGCAUAAGAUAUCUUCUCCAAUUCACCAGUGAUUCUAUCAGUGUACAUAGGCUUCCCAACCACACUAGCUAGUUUACUGAAGGCUUCGGUGGACCAAAAUCCCAAUAGAAAGCCAGGGAAGGUAAUCCACAAAGGAAUUACACUCACACUACCUGGUUCAUACUUGAAAUCCAUUCUCCACUGUUGUAACACAAAUUGCUUGUUAUGGAAAGUGUAUGGACCUGCCUGAAGAACAAGAUCCAUGUCUUCACUAUUAUCAAAUCUGAAUAUAUAGUAACCUUCCUCAUUAUGCAAUCAAGAACAAGAUCCAUGUCUUCCUCACUAUACAAUCAAGAAAGGGCCCAAGUUGUCCAUUGCUCGCUCGUACGAAUCUUCUCCAAGCACAAAACCAAUCAACACAUAUUCAAAUGGCUUGUUAUGGAAAGUGUAUGGACCUGCCUAAAGAUCAAGGUCCCUGACUUCAUUAUUAUCAAAUCUGAAUUUAUAAUAACCUUCCUCAUGAUGCAGCACUUGAGGUUUUGUAACAAAAUCCCAAACAUUUGUGAUGAAGUUGUCCAUUGCUCGCUCGUACAGGUCUUCUCCAAGCACAAAACCAAUCAAUGCGCUGCUCCAGUAUGCCUCUUGUUCCUUUGUAUCCUCGUCUUCAAUUUGUACCACAAAUGUACCAUCACGCAUAGCAGGUGGUACAUAGUUAAGCGGUUUCCCUUUUUGAGGGCUUCGAUUCUGUUGCAUGGUGUCCCUUUUAUCUUUUACUGCCUUAGGAUCUUCAGAAGUCUGACAGAUCUGAACUUACUUUGCUUGUGCAGAAAAUUGGAGUCGUCGAUGAACUUGUUGUGUAUCGGCAUUGUUCGUCCCCAGAAUUUCACCCUCGCCUUCGUCGAUUCCCUCACUAAUAGGUUGGCAUUUCAAUGUUAAAAACUUCCAAACGUAACUGGUUGUAAUCGAUGUUGUACUCCAUUUUCCUGCGUUAUCUGCAUUCCAGAAUUUUUAUUCCUGCUAGGGUUGUGAAAAAUUGUAGGCGCCGAACCCAUCCCUAUUAACCACCGAGCAGGCUUGUCAACAGACGGCAUCUCUAUACUAUCCUCCUCUGGUAUCACAUUUGUCGCUGGUGGUUUUCGUCAUCGUCUCGCCAUGGCUGAA
RNAcentral lists this long non-coding RNA (1654 nucleotides) under Nicotiana benthamiana. RNAcentral describes it as "long non-coding RNA (NBEN_LNC012293)". The record is from RNAcentral. Lineage: Eukaryota; Viridiplantae; Streptophyta; Magnoliopsida; Solanales; Solanaceae.